This 395-nucleotide ribosomal RNA is filed under the name uncultured bacterium. RNAcentral describes it as "partial 16S ribosomal RNA". It matches the Rfam family "Bacterial small subunit ribosomal RNA", at positions 523 to 916 of the family's 1533-position model. The record is from RNAcentral.
AUACGUAGGUGACGAGCGUUAUCCGGAUUUACUGGGCGUAAAGGGCGUGUAGGCGGUCUUGCAAGUCAGAAGUGAAAUUCCUGAGCUCAACUCGGGCGCUGCUUCUGAAACUGCAGGACUUGAGUGCUGGAGGGGAUAGCGGAAUUCCUAGUGGAGCGGUAAAAUGCGCAGAUAUUAGGAAGAACACCGGUGGCGAAGGCGGGUAUCUGGACAGUAACUGACGCUGAGGCGCGAAGGCGUGGGGAGCAAACAGGAUUAGAUACCCGGGUAGCCCACGCCGUAAACGAUGAAUACUAGGUGUAGGGGGUAUCGACUCCCUCUGUGCCGCAGUUAACACAAUAAGUAUUCCGCCUGGGGAGUACGGCCGCAAGGUUGAAACUCAAAUGAAUUGACGG